This 426-nucleotide ribosomal RNA is filed under the name uncultured bacterium. RNAcentral's name for it is "bacterial SSU rRNA". It matches the Rfam family "Bacterial small subunit ribosomal RNA", at positions 354 to 796 of the family's 1533-position model. The record is from RNAcentral.
GCAGGGAAUAUUGCGCAAUGGACGGAAGUCUGACGCAGCGACGCCGCGUGGAUGAUGAAGGCCUUCGGGUUGUAAAAUCCUUUUCAGGGGGAAGAGCGAGGACGGUACCCCUGGAAUAAGCGUCGGCUAACUACGUGCCAGCAGCCGCGGUAAGACGUAGGACGCGAGCGUUAUCCGGAUUUACUGGGCGUAAAGCGUCUGUAGGCGGAAGUGUAAGUUGGACGUGAAAGCUCCGGGCUCAACUCGGAGAGGCCGUUCAAUACUGCACAACUAGAGGCCAUCAGAGGGGCGUGGAAUUUCCGGUGUAGCGGUAAAAUGCGCAGAUAUCGGAAGGAACACCAGUGGCGAAGGCGGCGCCCUGGGGUGGGCCUGACGCUAAGAGACGAAAGCUAGGGGAGCGAACAGGAUUAGAAACCCUAGUAGUCC